Rattus norvegicus (Norway rat) is the source of this 121-nucleotide non-coding RNA. The record is from Rfam. Lineage: Eukaryota; Metazoa; Chordata; Mammalia; Rodentia; Muridae.
GUCUACGGCCAUACCACCCUGAACGCGGCCGAUCUCGUCUGAUAUCGGAAGCUAAGCAGGGUUGGGCCUGGUUAGUACUUGGAUGGGAGAAUAUAUUGUAAUAAGCUGUUUGUUUAAAACA